RNAcentral lists this transfer RNA (72 nucleotides) under Plasmopara halstedii. It matches the Rfam family "tRNA". From Rfam's summary of the family: Transfer RNA (tRNA) molecules are approximately 80 nucleotides in length. Their secondary structure includes four short double-helical elements and three loops (D, anti-codon, and T loops). The record is from Rfam by way of RNAcentral. Lineage: Eukaryota; Oomycota; Peronosporomycetes; Peronosporales; Peronosporaceae.
UCUCUUAUGGUGUAAUGGCUAGCAGGCUGGACUUUGAAUCCAGCGAUCCGGGUUCAAAUCCAGGUAGGAGCU